AUUCACAAUAAUAAGCUAUGUGGGUACCUGUCAGACUUGGAAUGUUUCCGAAAUGCUUCACUGUUCAACUCCUGGAAGGUUCGGGAUGACAGAGAGAGAAGAGAACUGCUUCACAUCACUACAGGGGCCUCCUCCAGUCAAUAAACAUCAGAUAAAAGACCAGCCUUCCUCUCACUGCCUUUUCAGAAGAGCACAUUAAUAUUCAGAGAUGCCUCAAGGAGCAGAAAUCGAAAGACGCGGAGGAAGAUCAAUACAGGAAAGCUACCUCAGUGUCCCUAUAUUGCUGAGCACAGCGGGGGACUGAUUGGUUGCUGAUACUUUUAGACAAGUUGUUGUGACAUUUGAUGCCUUGAACCUACACUUGAAGCACUGUACCAAGCAUGGCACUCUGUUACAUUUUGAAUAGGAUUCUAGGUGUUUUGUAGGCAUUAUCUAGCAUAAAUAGGUAGCAAGAUUAUAACGCAUGUCCGUGAGAUUGAAACCUUGUAUGAAAACUGAAAUAAGUGUAAGUCUUGAUUACGUCUGCUCUGUACAGACACGCGCAUACACACACAAACGCUAGUACACGCACGCUACACCCACGUACAUUGUAAUAUUGUUGUAUAGUGGCAUUACGCAUGUUGUAUUGUAGAUAUGUAGUGGUGUAAUAAUGUUAUACGAUGUGCUGUUUUAGCUUUUGUUUUAUGUGUGAUGUACUGUAAGUGCCUUAAUGUGUUCGGACCCCAGGAAGAGUAGCUGCUGCCUUGGUAGCAGCUAAUGGUUAUCCCUAAUAAAUACAAAUUUCCUCUA
Molecule: long non-coding RNA, 789 nt
Organism: Oncorhynchus mykiss (rainbow trout)
Lineage: Eukaryota; Metazoa; Chordata; Actinopteri; Salmoniformes; Salmonidae
Source: RefSeq, a predicted model, not a curated record